AACGCUGGCGGCGUGCCUAAUACAUGCAAGUCGAGCGAACGGACGAGAAGCUUGCUUCUCUGAUGUUAGCGGCGGACGGGUGAGUAACACGUGGAUAACCUACCUAUAAGACUGGGAUAACUUCGGGAAACCGGAGCUAAUACCGGAUAAUAUUUUGAACCGCAUGGUUCAAAAGUGAAAGACGGUCUUGCUGUCACUUAUAGAUGGAUCCGCGCUGCAUUAGCUAGUUGGUAAGGUAACGGCUUACCAAGGCAACGAUGCAUAGCCGACCUGAGAGGGUGAUCGGCCACACUGGAACUGAGACACGGUCCAGACUCCUACGGGAGGCAGCAGUAGGGAAUCUUCCGCAAUGGGCGAAAGCCUGACGGAGCAACGCCGCGUGAGUGAUGAAGGUCUUCGGAUCGUAAAACUCUGUUAUUAGGGAAGAACAUAUGUGUAAGUAACUGUGCACAUCUUGACGGUACCUAAUCAGAAAGCCACGGCUAACUACGUGCCAGCAGCCGCGGUAAUACGUAGGUGGCAAGCGUUAUCCGGAAUUAUUGGGCGUAAAGCGCGCGUAGGCGGUUUUUUAAGUCUGAUGUGAAAGCCCACGGCUCAACCGUGGAGGGUCAUUGGAAACUGGAAAACUUGAGUGCAGAAGAGGAAAGUGGAAUUCCAUGUGUAGCGGUGAAAUGCGCAGAGAUAUGGAGGAACACCAGUGGCGAAGGCGACUUUCUGGUCUGUAACUGACGCUGAUGUGCGAAAGCGUGGGGAUCAAACAGGAUUAGAUACCCUGGUAGUCCACGCCGUAAACGAUGAGUGCUAAGUGUUAGGGGGUUUCCGCCCCUUAGUGCUGCAGCUAACGCAUUAAGCACUCCGCCUGGGGAGUACGACCGCAAGGUUGAAACUCAAAGGAAUUGACGGGGACCCGCACAAGCGGUGGAGCAUGUGGUUUAAUUCGAAGCAACGCGAAGAACCUUACCAAAUCUUGACAUCCUUUGACAACUCUAGAGAUAGAGCCUUCCCCUUCGGGGGACAAAGUGACAGGUGGUGCAUGGUUGUCGUCAGCUCGUGUCGUGAGAUGUUGGGUUAAGUCCCGCAACGAGCGCAACCCUUAAGCUUAGUUGCCAUCAUUAAGUUGGGCACUCUAAGUUGACUGCCGGUGACAAACCGGAGGAAGGUGGGGAUGACGUCAAAUCAUCAUGCCCCUUAUGAUUUGGGCUACACACGUGCUACAAUGGACAAUACAAAGGGCAGCGAAACCGCGAGGUCAAGCAAAUCCCAUAAAGUUGUUCUCAGUUCGGAUUGUAGUCUGCAACUCGACUACAUGAAGCUGGAAUCGCUAGUAAUCGUAGAUCAGCAUGCUACGGUGAAUACGUUCCCGGGUCUUGUACACACCGCCCGUCACACCACGAGAGUUUGUAACACCCGAAGCCGGUGGAGUAACCUUUUAGGAGCUAGCCGUCGAAGGUGGGACAAAUGAUUGGGGUGAAGUCGUAACAAGGUAGCCGUAUCGGAAGGUGCGGCUGGAUCACCUCCUUUCU
This 1523-nucleotide ribosomal RNA is filed under the name Staphylococcus aureus. RNAcentral describes it as "partial 16S ribosomal RNA". It matches the Rfam family "Bacterial small subunit ribosomal RNA". The record is from RNAcentral. Lineage: Bacteria; Bacillati; Bacillota; Bacilli; Caryophanales; Staphylococcaceae.